RNAcentral lists this ribosomal RNA (466 nucleotides) under uncultured bacterium. Its description in RNAcentral is "bacterial SSU rRNA". It matches the Rfam family "Bacterial small subunit ribosomal RNA", at positions 39 to 507 of the family's 1533-position model. The record is from RNAcentral.
GAUAGAACGCAGCGGCAGGCUUAACACAUGCAAGUCGAGGGGCAGCGCGACGUAGCAAUACGUUGGCGGCGACCGGCGGAAGGGUGCGUAACGCGUGAGCAACUUGCCCGUGACAGGGGGAUAACCGGUGGAAACGCCGCCUAACACCCCGUAACAGCAUCGCCCGCAUGGGCGGUGUUUGAAAUCCGAGGAGGUCACGGAUGGGCUCGCGUGGCAUUAGCCAGUUGGCGGGGUAACGGCCCACCAAAGCGACGAUGCCUAGGGGUUCUGAGAGGAAGGUCCCCCACACUGGAACUGAGACACGGUCCAUACACCUACGGGUGGCAGCAGUAGGGGAAUAUUGGUAAUCUGGGAAACCGGGAACCAGCAACGCCGCGUGCGCGAUGAAGGCCUUCGGGUUGUAAAGCGCUUUUUAAAGGGAUGAGGAAGGACAGUACCUUUAGAAUAAGCCUCGGCUAACUACGUG